AGUGGAUGGGGAGCAACCUAGUUGUGAGUGCGGAAAGGUAGUGCCAAGAAAAGCUGUCAGAAUGAUGAGAAUUGAGUCCCGGUACCCGAAACCGACACAGGUAGGCAAGUAGAGAAUACUAAGGGGCGCGAGGUAACUCUCUCCAAGGAACUCGGCAAAAUGAUCCCGUAACUUAGGGAGAAGGGGUGCCACCGAGAGGUGGUCGCAGUGAAGAGGCCCAGGCGACUGUUUAGCAAAAACAUAGGUCUCUGCAAACUCGAAAGAGGAAGUAUAGGGGCUGACGCCUGCCCAGUGCCGGAAGGUUAAAGAAGUUGGUCAGGAGAAAUCUGAAGCUGGCGACUGAAGCCCCGGUGAACGGCGGCCGUAACUAUAACGGUCCUAAGGUAGCGAAAUUCCUUGUCGGGUAAGUUCCGACCCGCACGAAAGGCGUAACGAUCUGGGCGCUGUCUCGGAGAGAGGCUCGGCGAAAUAGGAUUGUCUGUGAAGAUACGGACUACCUGCAUUUGGACAGAAAGACCCUAUGAAGCUUUACUGUAGCUUGAAAUUGUGUUCGGGCUUCCUGUGCGCAGGAUAGGUGGGAGGCUAGGAAGGUCUGCUUGUGGGCAGAUUGGAGCCAACCGUGAGAUACCACUCUCAGGAGGCUAGAAUUCUAACUUAAUUAAGGACAGUUUCAGGUGGGCAGUUUGACUGGGGCGGUCGCCUCCAAAAAGGUAACGGAGGCGUACAAAGGUUCCCUCACACUGGUUGGAAAUCAGUGGCAGAGUGCAAAGGCAGAAGGGAGCUUGACUGCGAGACGGACAAGUCGAGCAGGGUGGAAACACGGUCUUAGUGAUCCGACGGUGCUGUGUGGAAGGGCCGUCGCUCAACGGAUAAAAGUUACUCUAGGAUAACAGGCUGAUCUCCCCCAAGAGUUCACAUCGACGGGGAGGUUUGGCACCUCGAUGUCGGCUCAUCGCAACCUGGGGCGGAAGUACGUCCCAAGGGUUGGGCUGUUCGCCCAUUAAAGCGGUACGUGAGCUGGGUCCAGAACGUCGUGAGACAGUUCGGUCCAUAUCCGAUGUAGGCGUGAGAAUAUUGAGAGGAGCCUUCCUUAGUACGAGAGGACCGGGAAGGACGCACCGCUGGUGUACCUGUUAUGAUGCCAAUCGUAAACGCAGGGUAGCCAAGUGCGGAGAGGAUAACCGCUGAAAGCAUCUAAGUGGGAAGCCCACCUCAAGAUGAGUAUUCUGGUGUAAGGUCACGGGGAGACGACCCGUAGAUAGGCACGAGGUGGAAGUGCAGAGAUGUAUGAAGCCGAAGUGUACUAAUAGACCGUCGGCUUGAUC
RNAcentral lists this ribosomal RNA (1325 nucleotides) under metagenome. RNAcentral describes it as "bacterial LSU rRNA". It matches the Rfam family "Bacterial large subunit ribosomal RNA", at positions 1561 to 2925 of the family's 2925-position model. The record is from RNAcentral.